GACGAACGCUGGCGGCGUGCUUAACACAUGCAAGUCGAACGGAAAGGCCCCCUUGUGGGGUACUCGAGUGGCGAACGGGUGAGUAACACGUGAGUAACCUACCCUUGACUUUGGGAUAACUUCAUGAAACUGGGGCUAAUACCGGAUAGGAGCUCCUGCUGCAUGGUGGGGGUUGGAACGUUUUGGCGGUUGGGGAUGGACUCGCGGCUUAUCAGCUUGUUGGUGGGGUAGUGGCUCACCAAGGCUUUGACGGGUAGCCGGCCUGAGAGGGUGACCGGCCACAUUGGGACUGAGAUACGGCCCAGACUCCUACGGGAGGCAGCAGUGGGGAAUAUUGCACAAUGGGCGGAAGCCUGAUGCAGCAACGCCGCGUGCGGGAUGACGGCCUUCGGGUUGUAAACCGCUUUCGCCUGUGACGAAGCGUGAGUGACGGUAAUGGGUAAAGAAGCACCGGCUAACUACGUG
RNAcentral lists this ribosomal RNA (465 nucleotides) under uncultured bacterium. Its description in RNAcentral is "partial 16S ribosomal RNA". It matches the Rfam family "Bacterial small subunit ribosomal RNA", at positions 28 to 507 of the family's 1533-position model. The record is from RNAcentral.